UCAGCCAAUCAUAUCUGCAAACACAAGCACAUUGCACAUAUAAACAGUCCAAACGCUAACUUACAGUUUUCUAGCUUGCAAGUUUGAUGAUGAAGCAUGCAAGUUACUGGGUUAACGGACCAAGAAUUCUAGCCUAUUCCAUAUCUCAUUUGAUCCAAAGUGUUACACGUAACAUGCUGCACUCACGAAUCUCAUGACCUUACAAAUUUACUUUGCUGAG
RNAcentral lists this unclassified non-coding RNA (220 nucleotides) under Hevea brasiliensis (rubber tree). The record is from RNAcentral. Lineage: Eukaryota; Viridiplantae; Streptophyta; Magnoliopsida; Malpighiales; Euphorbiaceae.